This 484-nucleotide ribosomal RNA is filed under the name uncultured bacterium. Its description in RNAcentral is "partial 16S ribosomal RNA". It matches the Rfam family "Bacterial small subunit ribosomal RNA", at positions 30 to 507 of the family's 1533-position model. The record is from RNAcentral.
AUUGAACGCUGGCGGCAGGCCUAACACAUGCAAGUCGAGCGGAUGAAGGGAGCUUGCUCCUGGAUUCAGCGGCGGACGGGUGAGUAAUGCCUAGGAAUCUGCCUGGUAGUGGGGGAUAACGUCCGGAAACGGGCGCUAAUACCGCAUCCGUCCUGAGGGGGAAAGUGGGGGAUCUUCGGACCUCCCGCUAUCAGAUGAGCCUAGGUCGGAUUAGCUAGUUGUUGGGGUAAAGGCCUACCAAGGCGACGAUCCGUAACUGGUCUGAGAGGAUGAUCAGUCACACUGGAACUGAGACACGGUCCAGACUCCUACGGGAGGCAGCAGUGGGGAAUAUUGGACAAAGGGCGAAAGCCUGAUCCAGCCAUGCCGCGUGUGUGAAGAAGGUCUUCGGAUUGUAAAGCACUUUAAGUUGGGAGGAAGGGCAGUAAGUUAAUACCUUGCUGUUUUGACGUUACCAACAGAAUAAGCACCGGCUAACUUCGUG